This 319-nucleotide ribosomal RNA is filed under the name uncultured Pseudomonadota bacterium. Its description in RNAcentral is "bacterial SSU rRNA". It matches the Rfam family "Bacterial small subunit ribosomal RNA", at positions 30 to 351 of the family's 1533-position model. Lineage: Bacteria; Pseudomonadati; Pseudomonadota. The record is from RNAcentral.
AUUGAACGCUGGCGGCAUGCCUUACACAUGCAAGUCGAACGGUAACGCGGGGUAACCUGGCGACGAGUGGCGAACGGGUGAGUAAUGCAUCGGAACGUGCCCAGUAGUGGGGGAUAGCCCGGCGAAAGCCGGAUUAAUACCGCAUACGACCUACGGGUGAAAGCGGGGGAUCGCAAGACCUCGCGCUAUUGGAGCGGCCGAUAUCAGAUUAGGUAGUUGGUGGGGUAAAGGCCUACCAAGCCUACGAUCUGUAGCUGGUCUGAGAGGACGACCAGCCACACUGGGACUGAGACACGGCCCAGACUCCUACGGGUGGCUG